GUUCCCUUAAUGUGUAAAUCUAAUGCUUAGUUUUGGAAUAUGAUCGUUUUAGUCAUAACAAAUAGUUUUUGCACUUAAGAUGUUCGAUAAAUUGCUUCUAUUAGAAUCAACAAGUCAAACAACGGGUGGUGAAGUGCACAGUCACCAAUCCCAAAAACAACUUACGGAAUUUUAAAGGAGAAAGCAUUUUCACCCUUCUGAUGGAAGAUAUUUUACUUGGAAAAUAUUUAACUUCACUUUUAUGCAACCAAACAACGGUAGAUACGUAGAAAUUACCCGAAAACAUUUUACUCCAAAACAAAUGGAGCCUAAUUCUCUACAAAUAGAAUUCGGCAAAUUAUUUGGCGUUCUUUUUUUCCUAUUAAUGAUAUGUUUUCUAACAUUAUUGUUAUAUAUGUCCAUCACAUUUAUAAACUGUACGUGCCUGUUCAUCACAAUGGUGUUUGGAAUUUGACCAUGAUUCAAUUGUGCAAACCAAUUUUUUAUGUUCUUAUUUGUUUCUCCCUAUUUGAAGAAAAAGAGAAUAGAAGCAAAAGAGUGAUGAUAAGAUCUUCUAAUGAGAAUACAUUUUAUGUUAUUCCCUGUUUGAGUGUAAUGGCAACAUUGCUAGGCACUCUUGGCUCCGCAAGGGGGGGGACUUGAGUCUCUGCACAACUCCAAAUAUUUUUGCAUGUUAUACUAAUUUUUAGGUUAAUUAUGGAAAAUUCUAUGUGAUUUUCCCCUGCAAGUUCCUUGAGGAAAACAAUUCUUAAAAUUUCCAUGUGAGAUGAAAAUCCCUAAAAUUUCAAGCUAUUAAUCACUUUUUAGGUUUCGUGUAUAAAGCUAGACUGUGGCUACGCGCAUACCCACAAUAAUCACUUCCUCAGACCUGGCAUGUAGCAUUAUAUACUUACAAAAUGUAUUUUUUGUUAUCAAAAUGAAUAUACAUCGGAUUUGGGCCCCUACUAGACACAAAUCCUACGUCCGCCACUGGCUCUCAGUACUUGGUUGUUGAAGAAGGCAUCGAGUUAGUGCGCAUUGAAAGUUUUGGGAUGUGGUUUGUCUAAUGUGCGGCUUAUGUGCCAUUGUGAAUGAUCAUCUGAUCAUGUCCAUUGGCUGGCCUUGGUUCAUAAUUGAAUAUUGCCUCAAAGAAGCGAACGUGUGGUGGUGACAACUCUUCAAAUAAACUACUAUUGGGUAAUGGAAUUGUAUUUGUGGUGAAAAAUGUGAAGGUGCUACAGAGUCAAACAAAAGUGCUCACUAAGGAAGAUUUUCAUAUGAUGCUUGAAACUGAUGACGGGAGGGUUGGUGUGGGUGGUUGCAAGGCUAACAUUAGUUUUUUUGUUCUAAUGACUUGAUAAAUGUUAGUGAUAGGAGAAUAAAGCUAUGAGUGGAUGGAGCAUGGCAGAAGGGGGAUCUCAUGGGAGCUGAGCAAGAGGUUGAGCGGCGAAGCGGGAAGCUGGCGGUGCUUUCUGCAAACAUGGCAGAAGCUAAAGCUUGUUUGGAAGCUGUGACAUGGUGCCUUGAUCAAGCGAUCAGGAUCCUCAUAAAUGCCACUGUUCUCACGGAUAGCUUGCUAUUGGUGAGGUUUUUGCGCAAGGAUUUGGUUCCAGACAUUUCAGACAUUUGGUUGUUAUCUACUAAGUUUUCUUCCUUAUCGGCUCUUACAAGUUAAUCGUUCUGUAAUCCAAACUGCUCAUAUAACUGGUAAAAGCCACCCUUAAAGGGGUUGGUUAGCAUGUAUCUGCUUUUAUUAGUAAUGAUAUGUGUUUCAAGGUUCUAAAAAAGAAGAAGAUAUACUUGAUGAAUAGCAUUCCUGAGGUAAAGGAACAAUGAGCCAAAUUUUCAACUGCUGUUUGGUGA
Rhododendron vialii is the source of this 1842-nucleotide RNA transcript. RefSeq lists it as uncharacterized. The transcript has 2 exons. Lineage: Eukaryota; Viridiplantae; Streptophyta; Magnoliopsida; Ericales; Ericaceae. The record is from RefSeq and is a predicted model, not a curated record.